UGGGGUGUGGCUCAGUGGUAGAGCACCUGCCUAACAUUUAGGAGUCCCUGGGUUACAUCCCCAGCAACACAC
RNAcentral lists this transfer RNA (72 nucleotides) under Neotoma lepida (desert woodrat). It matches the Rfam family "tRNA". From Rfam's summary of the family: Transfer RNA (tRNA) molecules are approximately 80 nucleotides in length. Their secondary structure includes four short double-helical elements and three loops (D, anti-codon, and T loops). Lineage: Eukaryota; Metazoa; Chordata; Mammalia; Rodentia; Cricetidae. The record is from Rfam by way of RNAcentral.